RNAcentral lists this ribosomal RNA (253 nucleotides) under uncultured bacterium. Its description in RNAcentral is "partial 16S ribosomal RNA". It matches the Rfam family "Bacterial small subunit ribosomal RNA", at positions 524 to 776 of the family's 1533-position model. The record is from RNAcentral.
UACAGAGGUCUCAAGCGUUGUUCGGAUUCAUUGGGCGUAAAGGGCGCGUAGGCGGGCCAUCAAGUCAGGGGUGAAAGCCCCCAGCUCAACUGGGGAAGUGCCUUUGAUACUGGUGGUCUCGAGGGGGAUAGGGGCAUGCGGAACUUCCGGUGGAGCGGUGAAAUGCGUAGAUAUCGGAAGGAACACCGGUGGCGAAAGCGGCGUGCUGGAUCCCUUCUGACGCUGAGGCGCGAAAGCCAGGGGAGCGAACGGG